Molecule: ribosomal RNA, 253 nt
Filed under: uncultured bacterium
Lineage: Bacteria
Description: partial 16S ribosomal RNA
Rfam family: Bacterial small subunit ribosomal RNA
Source: RNAcentral
UACGUAGGAGACGAGCGUUGUCCGGAGUUACUGGGCGUAAAGGGUGCGCAGGUGGCGGCGCGCGUGGGGGGUGAAAUCGCCCGGCUUAACUGGGCGGGGGCCUUCCAGACGGCGUGGCUUGAGCAGCGGAGGGGGACGUGGAAUUCCGGGUGGAGCGGUGAAAUGCGUAGAGAUCCGGAGGAACACCGACGGCGCAGGCGGCGUGCUGGGCGGUUGCUGACACUGAGGCACGAAAGCUGGGGGAGCAAACAGG